GAGGGUAUAGCUCAAGUGGUAGAGCGCAUGCUUAGCAUGCAUGAGGUCCUGGGUUCAAUCCCCAGUAUCUCUU
This 73-nucleotide transfer RNA is filed under the name Camelus bactrianus (Bactrian camel). It matches the Rfam family "tRNA". From Rfam's summary of the family: Transfer RNA (tRNA) molecules are approximately 80 nucleotides in length. The record is from Rfam by way of RNAcentral. Lineage: Eukaryota; Metazoa; Chordata; Mammalia; Artiodactyla; Camelidae. RNAcentral also lists the same sequence under 2 other names.